RNAcentral lists this transfer RNA (76 nucleotides) under Lysobacter sp. Its description in RNAcentral is "tRNA-Glu". It matches the Rfam family "tRNA". From Rfam's summary of the family: Transfer RNA (tRNA) molecules are approximately 80 nucleotides in length. Their secondary structure includes four short double-helical elements and three loops (D, anti-codon, and T loops). The record is from RNAcentral. RNAcentral also lists the same sequence under 9 other names. Lineage: Bacteria; Pseudomonadati; Pseudomonadota; Gammaproteobacteria; Lysobacterales; Lysobacteraceae.
GCUCCCUUCGUCUAGAGGCCUAGGACGUGGCCCUCUCACGGCUAAAACACGAGUUCGAAUCUCGUAGGGAGCACCA